AAUCCCUACGGGGCGCAGCAGUGGGGAAUAUUGCACAAUGGGGGGAACCCUGAUGCAGCGACGCCGCGUGGGUGAAGAAGUCAUUCGUGACGUAAAGCCCUAUCAGCAGGGAAGACAAUGACGGUACCUGACUAAGAAGCCCCGGCUAACUACGUGCCAGCAGCCGCGGUAAUACGUAGGGGGCAAGCGUUAUCCGGAUUUACUGGGUGUAACGCGCGCGUAGACGGCGGCGCAAGUCCGGAGUGAAUGCCCACGGCCCAACC
This 263-nucleotide ribosomal RNA is filed under the name uncultured bacterium. RNAcentral describes it as "partial 16S ribosomal RNA". It matches the Rfam family "Bacterial small subunit ribosomal RNA", at positions 334 to 614 of the family's 1533-position model. The record is from RNAcentral.